UGUGCCAAGCAUAUACUCCUUUUUGCUACAAGAAUAUUCCAUUUCAUAAGUAUAAAAUCACAUUUAAAAUUUACAUAUUCAAAUCAUGAGUUUGAAACUUCUAAAAACGUUAUUCAAUCCCUCUUUAAAUUCAUAUAUUAGCAGGAUUUAGUAGAGGCUGAAGAUGUCAAGAGAGGGGAGGUGUUGAGAUCGAUUGACCAUUCAGAAGGUAAUCAAUCAAAUGCGAAGAAAUCAAUAAACAUGAUGGUGUGUUGGAUGAAGGAUGCAAGAGAGACCUCCAUGUAAACACUCUUUCUUUCUUUUGAAGGCGUAUAGUAAAGCUUGAGGGUCAUUUUUCUAAUGAAAAGUAUAUUGAGUAUUUUAUGUAAUAAGUUAGAAAGUAGAAUAGUGAAAAUUUUGCAAUAUUUAGUAUUUUAGAAAACAUGUAUGUAAAUAGUAGUUUGCUUCAUGAUAAUAACAAUAAAUUUUUACUAAAUUAAUUUGAAUAUUAUGAUCUAUGAACACCUAUAAAUUAACAUAAAAUCUUUCAAUUA
Lactuca sativa (garden lettuce) is the source of this 533-nucleotide long non-coding RNA. RefSeq lists it as uncharacterized. The record is from RefSeq and is a predicted model, not a curated record. NCBI's taxonomy places the organism in Eukaryota, Viridiplantae, Streptophyta, Magnoliopsida, Asterales, Asteraceae.